This 98-nucleotide ribosomal RNA is filed under the name Actinomycetota bacterium. Lineage: Bacteria; Bacillati; Actinomycetota. The record is from RNAcentral.
GGGUCACACCCGUUCCCAUUCCGAACACGGAAGUUAAGCCAUUCAGCGCCGAUGGUACUUGGGCCGUCAGGCCCUGGGAGAGUAGGACGCCGCCGGAU